AGGAGAGUUUGAUCCUGGCUCAGGAUGAACGCUAGCUACAGGCUUAACACAUGCAAGUCGAGGGGCAGCAUGAUCGAAGCUUGCUUUGAUUGAUGGCGACCGGCGCACGGGUGAGUAACGCGUAUCCAACCUUCCCUAUAGUAGAGGAUAGCCCAGCGAAAGUCGGAUUAAUACUCUAUGUUUUCCAAUGCAGACAUCUAAGUUGGAACAAAGGUUCACCGCUAUAGGAUGGGGAUGCGUCUGAUUAGGUUGUUGGCGGGGUAACGGCCCACCAAGCCUACGAUCAGUAGGGGUUCUGAGAGGAAGGUCCCCCACAUUGGAACUGAGACACGGUCCAAACUCCUACGGGAGGCAGCAGUGAGGAAUAUUGGUCAAUGGGCGAGAGCCUGAACCAGCCAAGUAGCGUGCAGGAUGACGGCCCUAUGGGUUGUAAACUGCUUUUAUACGGGGAUAAAGUGAGGGACGUGUCCCUUUUUGUAGGUACCGUAUGAAUAAGGACCGGCUAAUUCCGUGCCAGCAGCCGCGGUAAUACGGAAGGUCCGGGCGUUAUCCGGAUUUAUUGGGUUUAAAGGGAGCGCAGGCUGAUUAUUAAGCGUGACGUGAAAUGUAGCCGCUCAACGGCUGAACUGCGUCGCGAACUGGUAGUCUUGAGUGAGUUCGAUGUUGGCGGAAUUCGUGGUGUAGCGGUGAAAUGCUUAGAUAUCACGAAGAACUCCGAUUGCGAAGGCAGCCAACAAGGCCUUUACUGACGCUAAAGCUCGAAGGUGCGGGUAUCGAACAGGAUUAGAUACCCUGGUAGUCCCCU
This 805-nucleotide ribosomal RNA is filed under the name uncultured Bacteroidota bacterium. RNAcentral describes it as "bacterial SSU rRNA". It matches the Rfam family "Bacterial small subunit ribosomal RNA", at positions 1 to 799 of the family's 1533-position model. Lineage: Bacteria; Pseudomonadati; Bacteroidota. The record is from RNAcentral.